RNAcentral lists this ribosomal RNA (327 nucleotides) under Triticum aestivum (bread wheat). Its description in RNAcentral is "partial small subunit ribosomal RNA". The record is from RNAcentral. Lineage: Eukaryota; Viridiplantae; Streptophyta; Magnoliopsida; Poales; Poaceae.
AUGCAAGACUACUUCUCGGGGAAUCCAACAUAUCCACUGCACCUCUUCCGGAGAAGGUACCGAAUGCGCUGAUCUCUCUUUGUGAAAAUUGUUCAAGCUUGUGAGGCAAAUUGUCGGUAUUUUACUCAAAGAAGAAAUGCCACGGGCUUAAAGGGAUUUAGUGCAUAUCAAAAAAUCUCGGCAACUAUGCGUGUGAUUGCAUACGGCGUUCCGGCUGACUAUGCCGAUGAGUACCUUCGCAUUGGCGAAGAUACCACAAUUGAGUCAGUACGUAGGUUUGCCAAAGUGAUCAUACGUGUCUUUGGUCCUGAAGAGUGGCGUAGCUAG